GUUACUUUAGGAGGGGCUUGCGCCAUAUUAGUUAGUUGGUAGGGUAAUGGCCUACCAAGACGAUGAUGUGUAGCUGGACUGAGAGGUUGAACAGCCACAUUGGGACUGAGACACGGCCCAAACUCCUACGGGAGGCAGCAGUAGGGAAUUUUCGGCAAUGGAGGAAACUCUGACCGAGCAACGCCGCGUGAACGACGAAGUACUUUGGUAUGUAAAGUUCUUUUAUCAAGGAAGAAAAGCAAGUGGUGAACCAUUUGUUUGCCGGUACUUGAUGAAUAAGCCCCGGCUAAUUAUGUGCCAGCAGCCGCGGUAAGACAUAAGGGGCAAGUGUUAUCCGGAAUUAUUGGGCGUAAAGGGUGCGUAGGCGGUCUAGUAAGUCAGUGGUGUAAUGGCAACGCUCAACGUUGUCCGGCUAUUGAAACUGCUAAACUUGAGUUAGAUAGAGGCGAGUGGAAUUCCAUGUGUAGCGGUAAAAUGCGUAAAUAUAUGGAGGAACACCAGAGGCGUAGGCGGCUCGCUGGGUCUUAACUGACGCUGAGGCACGAAAGCGUGGGGAGCAAACAGGAUUAGAUACCCUGGUAGUCCACGCCGUAAACGAUGAGUACUAAGUGUCGGGUUAAACCGGUACUGAAGUUAACACAUUAAGUACUCCGCCUGAGUAGUACGUACGCAAGUAUGAAACUUAAAGGAAUUGACGGGACUCCGCACAAGCGGUGGAUCAUGUUGUUUAAUUCGAAGAUACCCGAAAAACCUUACCAGGUCUUGACAUGUUUUUGCGAAACGGUAGUAAUAUCGUGGAGGUUAUCAGAAACACAGGUGGUGCAUGGUUGUCGUCAGCUCGUGUCGUGAGAUGUUAGGUUAAGUCCUAAAACGAGCGAAACCCUUAUCGUUAGUUGCCAGCACGUUAUGGUGGGGACUUUAACGAGACUGCCAGUGAUAAAUUGGAGGAAGGUGAGGAUCACGUCAAAUCAGCAUGCCCCUUAUGACCUGGGCUACAAACGUGAUACAAUGGCUGUUACAAAGGGUAGCUGAAACGCAAGUUCUUGGCCAAUCCCCAAAAACAGUCUCAGUCCGGAUUGAAGUCUGCAACUCGACUUCAUGAAGUGGAAUCGCUAGUAUCGCGAAUCAGCAUUCGCGGGAAUUUUUGUUUCCC
This 1153-nucleotide small RNA is filed under the name Candidatus Phytoplasma citri. Its description in RNAcentral is "bacterial SSU rRNA". It matches the Rfam family "Bacterial small subunit ribosomal RNA", at positions 214 to 1375 of the family's 1533-position model. The record is from RNAcentral. Lineage: Bacteria; Bacillati; Mycoplasmatota; Mollicutes; Acholeplasmatales; Acholeplasmataceae.